RNAcentral lists this transfer RNA (71 nucleotides) under Stegodyphus mimosarum. It matches the Rfam family "tRNA". From Rfam's summary of the family: Transfer RNA (tRNA) molecules are approximately 80 nucleotides in length. Their secondary structure includes four short double-helical elements and three loops (D, anti-codon, and T loops). The record is from Rfam by way of RNAcentral. Lineage: Eukaryota; Metazoa; Arthropoda; Arachnida; Araneae; Eresidae.
GUCUUCGUGGUGUAACGGUAGUACACUGGACUCGUAUUCGAGAGGUUCAGGUUCGAGUCCCGGCGAGGGCA